Molecule: vault RNA, 101 nt
Filed under: Acanthochromis polyacanthus (spiny chromis)
Lineage: Eukaryota; Metazoa; Chordata; Actinopteri; Pomacentridae
Description: Vault RNA (ENSAPOG00000020539.1)
Rfam family: Vault RNA
About the family: This family of RNAs are found as part of the enigmatic vault ribonucleoprotein complex. The complex consists of a major vault protein (MVP), two minor vault proteins (VPARP and TEP1), and several small untranslated RNA molecules. It has been suggested that the vault complex is involved in drug resistance.
Source: Rfam by way of RNAcentral
GCACUGGUUUAGCUCAGUGGUUACUUUUCUCUGCUAAUCUACUUGAUUACGCUGAUUCAUUCCUCCCUGGGAUCAAAUCAUGGGCGCUGUCCAGUGUCUUU